RNAcentral lists this long non-coding RNA (3051 nucleotides) under Gallus gallus (chicken). RNAcentral describes it as "lncRNA (ENSGALG00010026256.1)". The record is from RNAcentral. Lineage: Eukaryota; Metazoa; Chordata; Aves; Galliformes; Phasianidae.
GGCUAGUCUGAGAGGCUCCUGUAACGAGGCUGGAACAGCCUCUGCCUGGGUAAUUAUUCACGUCUGGAAAGGGGGAAGAAAUCCCCUCUGGGAAGUGCUGGUUUAUAGGGCAUCACAACCUGGUGCAGCACAUUUCCUCAAGGGUAGGAAAAACUGUAGGAAAACGAGGGGAAAAAAAGGAGAUUUCAGGAUUGGAGUUGGGGUUUUGGUUGCUUUCAGGGACAAGAACUGUGACCACAGGGCUUGUGGGCAUCAUCAGGUGUGAGAUGAUCGCAGCAAUGCAGGUGCAGCAGCGGAGGGGUGAUGUUCCUUCUCCAGCCCCACGUGGGAGCAGCGUCUGGGGAAAACCAAAGCAAUGCCACUGCUUUGCUGGGUCUGAGCAUCCCUUGCACAGGUCCAAAGGCUCAGAAGAGAGGGAGUAAGCUUUAUGGGAACAGCUCACUUUUCCCUGCUAUCGGGGUGCUCUCUGGCACUGCACGCUCCCUGCAUGGGCACGCAGGAGGAACUUCCAGCCUUCAUCGCUCACCCUUCAGCACAGAGCUGAGCCUCCAUCUGCUCUGACGCCUUUCCCAUCUCCUGCAGCCCUCAGCAGCACAGGGCAAGGGCAGCCCCAUGGGUACCUCGUAAAUAGCCUGGCCUCAGAGCAGGAGCAGCUGGAGCACUGGUGGGAUGCUCACGGUCGAGAGCAGCGCCUUCUGCUGCUUGCCUGCCCUUGGGACCAGCAGGGAGACAGAGCCAUGGCCGAAGGAAAAGCAGAGAGGCUGGCCGGUGAAACAGAUGUUUAAGCAAUUUUGAAACUCAGUGCCCGCACAGCAACCGCGUGGAACCCCAAGGAGUUAUUCCAUCAGCAGCAUCACUACUGUGAUUUGCUGGAUCACCACUGCAAUCAGCUCCAGUGCCUAGCGAGGAACCUGAAGAGGAAGAGACAUAGGUAGAAAUGAAACAGAGAGAAAAGGACUUAAAGGAAGGGAGAGAAGGGGAGAGGUCAGGAAGGAUGAGAGCACCGCAAAGAAGUGGCCAAGCAAAGACAAUGCCUACAUGGGGAUUGCUGGCAGCUCACGGACACUGCCUUGUUUUUCCAGCAGCACUCUCAAGAGGAAAAGAUUUCAUCCCAAGUGCUGCUCCUUGAGCAGGCAAUCAUCUCUACCAUAACUGUGUGGGCUCUGGAGAAAUAAAUUAAGCCAGGCAGGCUCAAUCACAGUUGUGGCAGAGGCAAAGGAUUUAUGGCUGCAAGGCUCAGGGACGCAGGAUGCAGCGUGAUUCCGCAAACCCUCCUGCCCAGUGUUACAGGAGAUCACAAUGGGUCCAGGUGACAAAGGAUGCCCUGGUCCCGUGGCACCCAUACCCGGCAAGAGGAGUGCCUGUGUCCAAAAAAUAACAUUUCUAUGCCAUCUGGUAGGAUUAAGCAGCCCUGAGCAACUGCAUCCAGACCACGGCAUCCAAGGAGAAAUAUCAGACACCAAAGGUGCUUGGGUCCUGAGUGUCAGAAGGAAAUGUUUGGCUGCUUUGUACAAACGGGCAAGGGCAAAGCUAGAAAGCAGAGGUAUUUGCUUGUUCCUCACCCUUCACGUAAUGAAAAGCAAUAACAGAGAACAGUGGGAAGGAGAGGCACUAACAGCCUGGAUUUAUCCAGCUGUUGGAGAAAAAUCUCUACUGCUGACCUCUCGAUGAAAGUGUAGAUAACUGUUUUAGUUUUCAGAGAGGAUAGCCUCAAUUCUUGCAAAAAUCCCAUUUCUAGUCUUCAGGGGACUGAGCAGGGCCUUGAUCUAUAGCUCCAGUUUUCAAAGAGCAAAUGAAAUGCUUUCUCUUUUCAUCCAUAUCCCGCAAGGGCCAACCAUCAUGAAAAAUGGGAGUGCCUCCCUCGCAGGAGAUUACCAGUGAAAUUUCCUGGCUGAAAACCUGGGUUCUGUUCACCACUGCUAUUGUGGGUAAGAGUGUCCCAGGCCGACUCUUGCCUUUGAGAGCCUCCUGCAUUCAGCAUGCAAUGCAUGAUGGGGAGAAGGAAAGGAGGGAAGGUGGGGAUUUAGGAGCUGGAGGAAGGAGGAAAAGGAAGAGGAAGAGGAGAGAGAGAAAGAAGGAGAAGGAGGACAAAGACAAAGCAAAGACAAAGAUGAAGACAAAGAUGAUGAAGACAAAGACAAAGAUGAUGACGAUGAAGAUGAAGACAAAGAGCAGAUAUCUCCUCUGGAAGCAAGAAGCAGACACUGGAAUUGAGUAUUUUCAGCCUUUGAGGUUAUGUAGCCCGCAAAAACAUCUUCACUGCUCCCUGGAGAACUUCUGAUCCAUCCAGCAAUAACUGAGAGAGCACGUUGGGAGAUGUCUGACAGAGUGCCUUUGGGACUUUUUGAAUCUGUAGAUGAAGAGUUUCACUUUCCUCUAGGAAAAUGUCAGGGCAAAAAGAGCCAUGUUCCAGGUUGACCAAAACCAAUAAUUCUUUUAGUUUUCUUAUUUGGGCAUGGCCGUGGGUUGUUUCCACGCCAUCUUAUUCCCAGGAGUCACGAAAAGCAGCAGCUCCAUUGAUUUGAAGCGGGCUCAUCUGAAAACUAAACUCCAAAAAUGCCCAGUUUAUUGGUGCAGCUGCAGGGAUGACAUGACAAGAGCUGAGAAAGGGCACUGGGGCUGCUCAGGAAAGGGGUGAUUUCUUGCCCAGGGCUGAAGCCAUUCGCAGAUUUGAGGCUUGAGACACUUGAAGAUUUCUGGGAAAGGAACAAUGGAUUUGCUAAGUAUUAUUAUUUAAGUGACAAGGCUGAAAAUUGAAAAGAAAAUCUGUUUACCAAAAAUAACAAUAGUAGAUAUUUGUCAUCACUGUCAGACCCAUGCAAUUUCAUAGGUUUCAUAAGCUCCCAUUAAUUUUCUUGUUUGGGAGGAUUUGCUGUUUUAAUGAAACCUAUUUACACUGGCAACUGCUGGAAAAUCAUUCAUUAGUGGACAAGAACUAUUGAUUAUUUUCAUCCAACUACUCAGCCACGUAGUAGCCAAUUACUGGAACCAAGAAAUAAAGAAAUAUCAACAUUGUGUUCCUGCUCCUAUUUCCAGCAGAACUUUGCUCCC